Molecule: ribosomal RNA, 503 nt
Filed under: uncultured bacterium
Lineage: Bacteria
Description: partial 16S ribosomal RNA
Rfam family: Bacterial small subunit ribosomal RNA
Source: RNAcentral
AUUGAACGCUGGCGGCAGGCUUAACACAUGCAAGUCGAGCGGGGUGAUGGUGCUUGCACUAUCACUUAGCGGCGGACGGGUGAGUAAUGCUUAGGAAUCUGCCUAUUAGUGGGGGACAACAUCUCGAAAGGGAUGCUAAUACCGCAUACGUCCUACGGGAGAAAGCAGGGGAUCUCUUGUGACCUUGCGCUAAUAGAUGAGCCUAAGUCGGAUUAGCUAGUUGGUGGGGUAAAGGCCUACCAAGGCGACGAUCUGUAGCGGGUCUGAGAGGAUGAUCCGCCUCACUGGGACUGAGACACGGCCCGGACUCCUACGGGAGGCAGCAGUGGGGAAUAUUGGACAAUGGGGGGAACCCUGAUCCAGCCAUGCCGCGUGUGUGAAGAAGGCCUUAUGGUUGUAAAGCACUUUAAGCGAGGAGGAGGCUCUUUUGGUUAAUACCCAAGAUGAGUGGACGUUACUCGCAGAAUAAGCACCGGCUAACUCUGUGCCAGCCGCCGCAGUAA